Long non-coding RNA from Choloepus didactylus (southern two-toed sloth), 1443 nucleotides. RefSeq lists it as uncharacterized. The record is from RefSeq and is a predicted model, not a curated record. The transcript has 2 exons. NCBI's taxonomy places the organism in Eukaryota, Metazoa, Chordata, Mammalia, Pilosa, Megalonychidae.
UUGUAGAAGACCGAAGAACGCGUCCGAGAAAACCUGGGCACUAACGCUAUAGAGCUACUCUUGGUACUUUUAGGGCCUCCGGGAAGGGGAUGUGGUUGUGUUUCAGGGACAUGUAACGACUGCCCUCGGAGAAUUCCGGGAAUCUCACACGAGAGCGGAAACCCCCAGUCGGAACGUGAGGAAACCGUUGUCAGGUCCCCUAAAGGUAAACAGGGAUGGCUGCGCCCACCGUACUGCACCAUCGGUAGAAAGGGCAUCGAGUCGCUAUGGCCCUGGUGUCGUCCCUAAACUCGAGGUUGGGGUCACGCAGCCGCGGAGAGAGCUUUUCAAAUUCCAUCUUGUCGUUGCGAGGGACCCGCUACGCGUCUACAGACGGGCUUGGUCGGAUCGGGGUUUCUUCCCUCCUCCCUUCCUGCGCAGCCGUCUGCUUCUCUGGAGACUCCAGGCAGAGACGGGAAGGGCAAGGUGGCUGAGGUGGAAACGUGAGAAAGAGGCCUUCUGUGUCCUGGGACUCGUAGAAAGAGUUUGAAGCUCCUGUUUUUCUAAUAUCUAGAAUUCGAAUUUCGUGAAAGCCCUUCCAUUCCCACAUUCUGUGUUGAAGACAAGAAAGGAUGCAGACCCGGAACCCAAGGCCCAAGAGGAUGACCCCCCCGGGGUGGAGAACGCAGCCGGCUCCCCUGGUCCGGGCGCGGGCUAUGGCUGAGUGCGAGAGGCGCCUUCCAGUGUGCGUUUCCUGGGCCACCUGGGGAGGCCAGGAGCGCAGUACGCACGUGGGUAACGAGUACGCUUCGAUUGAAGAACUAGUGCUGCCUUUUACUAACUCUUGUGCAGUCGCGGCUUCUUAACUUUCCUGAGUUAAAGUGGUAUGAAUAUACCCACUUUAACCAUUGGCCCGAGGGCAUAGAUGUCCUAACUGAAUUCAGGAAUGCUUCCCUGCUCGCUGCCCUGGAACAGGUGUUAGUCCUUCAUUCAGAGGCUAUGUCCUCCACCUGUGCUCAGCGCUGACUCCAAUCCGUACGUCUCCGAUCCCCACUCUCAAUUUGAAAACGAAACAGACCACCGAAAAUUUUUCCAUACCCUGUGCUCCACGCUACAAGUUUCUCUCUCCCCACCUCUUCUAGCAAAGUGCUAGAAAUAAUGGAACCUGUUCGCUGACUGCAUUGGUUACCUAACCUCUCACCCCUAGCAGGGAAGCUUUGUCACUCACGCUUUCUUCCCCAGCAGUGACCUAACAUUGCUCUUUCUGUGGAGGUUACCGGUGACCUCCUAAAUGCCAAAUUCAAGUACAAUUGGCAUGUAUUUGUAUCUUUAUCUCUCUGGCAUUUGACAAAUUGUAUUACCUUCCCUUUCCCUUUUAUAUUUUUCCAUUUACUUAAGUAAUGUAUUAUGAUUAAUGAAAAUUGUCAUAAAUUGUCAUUAAACUCAAAAUAUGACCAUUGAUAA